AUUGAACGCUGGCGGCAUGCUUUACACAUGCAAGUCGAACGGUAACAGACCUUCGGGUGCUGACGAGUGGCGAACGGGUGAGUAAUGCAUCGGAACGUGCCCAGAGGUGGGGGAUAACGCAGCGAAAGCUGUGCUAAUACCGCAUGUGAUCUGAGGAUGAAAGCGGGGGACCAGGCAGCAAUGUUUGGCCUCGCGCCUUUGGAGCGGCCGAUGUCAGAUUAGGUAGUUGGUGGGGUAAAGGCCUACCAAGCCGACGAUCUGUAGCUGGUCUGAGAGGACGACCAGCCACACUGGGACUGAGACACGGCCCAGACUCCUACGGGAGGCAGCAGUGGGGAAUUUUGGACAAUGGGCGCAAGCCUGAUCCAGCAAUGCCGCGUGCGGGAAGAAGGCCUUCGGGUUGUAAACCGCUUUUGUACGGAACGAAAAGGCUCUGGCUAAUACCUGGGGCUGAUGACGGUACCGUAAGAAUAAGCACCGGCUAACUACGU
This 491-nucleotide ribosomal RNA is filed under the name uncultured bacterium. Its description in RNAcentral is "partial 16S ribosomal RNA". It matches the Rfam family "Bacterial small subunit ribosomal RNA", at positions 30 to 506 of the family's 1533-position model. The record is from RNAcentral.